This 765-nucleotide long non-coding RNA is filed under the name Homo sapiens (human). Its description in RNAcentral is "HSALNT0369327". Lineage: Eukaryota; Metazoa; Chordata; Mammalia; Primates; Hominidae. The record is from RNAcentral.
UGGAAUUUCAGAGUUCUAAAAUGAACCUAAAAAGUUACUUCAGCAUCCUUAGAAAUAAGUUGUUAAGGCAUGAACAUUUGAGUUCAUCCAAAGUGUUAUCAAAAGGUCUCAUCAAAUUAUUUUAUGUAGAAGAGCACCCAAAUGUUAUUUCUUGCUGUUCCUCUUCUUUUCCUCAAGAGAAAGAAGGUUGAAAACUGAAAAUGAUGAAGUUGAAGAAUGAAGUCAAUGAGUGUUAAGAAGAGAUUCAUUUAUCCUUGAAAAAUGAAAAAGUAGAGUGCUGGUGGUGAUCAUGUCUUCCCUUCACCCAUGGGGACUUUUCAUUUAUCGCUGCCACUCCAGCAUGUUCACUAUUCUCUGUAGCAUGAAAAUCUGAUAAAGCUCAUGAGGGGAGAGAAAACUUAACUUCAAUAUUUUCCUGCUGAGCCUGAGAGUGCUUUGUAUACCCUAGCAAGAUGAAAAUCUUAGCUGCAGCAUCAGGAAGAGGACACCUCACUUUAUCCUACAUUCCUAUCUCAGUCAGGAAAGUAGCUCUAGAGAAGGAACUAAGAAGUCAAGGCCUUUUGUGAAGUUGCUCUGUUAUCUCUGUGGCCCCAAAGACCAAAAUGAUGGAGAAAAUGAAACCAGGAUGAUUUCUGACAUCUGCUUCCACUCCACCUUCUUUAACCACUUCAUCCACAUCUCUCUUAGCUUCUCACAUAAGUCUCACCUGGAAUCAUCUUAUUUACACCAAUAAAUUUACCUACCACCUGCCUGUUGAUUGCCAAA